UAGUCUUAAUUCGUGUUUUACUGUAUGGG
Molecule: small RNA, 29 nt
Filed under: Bombyx mori (domestic silkworm)
Lineage: Eukaryota; Metazoa; Arthropoda; Insecta; Lepidoptera; Bombycidae
Description: ovarian small RNA-23033
Source: RNAcentral